RNAcentral lists this ribosomal RNA (467 nucleotides) under uncultured bacterium. RNAcentral describes it as "partial 16S ribosomal RNA". It matches the Rfam family "Bacterial small subunit ribosomal RNA", at positions 29 to 507 of the family's 1533-position model. The record is from RNAcentral.
ACGAACGCUGGCGGCGUGCUUAACACAUGCCAGUCGAACGGAAAGGCCCUGCUUUUGUGGGGUGCUCGAGUGGCGAACGGGUGAGUAACACGUGAGUAACCUGCCCUUGACUUUGGGAUAACUUCAGGAAACUGGGGCUAAUACCGGAUAGGAGCUCCUGCUGCAUGGUGGGGGUUGGAAAGUUUCGGCGGUUGGGGAUGGACUCGCGGCUUAUCAGCUUGUUGGGGGGGUAGUGGCUUACCAAGGCUUUGACGGGUAGCCGGCCUGAGAGGGUGACCGGCCACAUUGGGACUGAGAUACGGCCCAGACUCCUACGGGAGGCAGCAGUGGGGAAUAUUGCACAAUGGGCGGAAGCCUGAUGCAGCAACGCCGCGUGCGGGAUGACGGCCUUCGGGUUGUAAACCGCUUUCGCCUGUGACGAAGCGUGAGUGACGGUAAUGGGUAAAGAAGCACCGGCUAACUACGUG